UCAUUACCAUCACCCAUGCGAAACUUAAAAAUGAACUACACACGUAGAAAGAAAUGUUGCAAGGUCUCUGGACGCGGGUUCAACUCCCGCCGUCUCCAUAC
RNAcentral lists this transfer-messenger RNA (101 nucleotides) under Candidatus Jeotgalicoccus stercoravium. RNAcentral describes it as "partial transfer-messenger RNA". It matches the Rfam family "transfer-messenger RNA", at positions 271 to 374 of the family's 374-position model. Rfam says of the family: Bacterial tmRNA, also known as 10Sa RNA or SsrA, is named for its dual tRNA and mRNA-like properties. Its role is to liberate the mRNA from a stalled ribosome. The record is from RNAcentral. Lineage: Bacteria; Bacillati; Bacillota; Bacilli; Caryophanales; Staphylococcaceae.